Long non-coding RNA from Cannabis sativa, 1753 nucleotides. RefSeq lists it as uncharacterized. NCBI's taxonomy places the organism in Eukaryota, Viridiplantae, Streptophyta, Magnoliopsida, Rosales, Cannabaceae. The transcript is spliced from 3 exons. The record is from RefSeq and is a predicted model, not a curated record.
CAAAUUUUACAAACUAUUAUUUCAUUAUUUCACUCAUUGUCCCCCCAUUCAAAACCCUAGCAGACCCAUUUCGAAACCCAGCCGCGCCUCUGCCCACGUCUGUCUGCCCCCACCGUUGGUUCCCAAACUCUGGUAAGCACCUUGGCCGCCACCGUAUGCUAAUUUGUUCUUUUUUUGGUUUAUAUGAUUUAUCCCUAAUUUGUAUGCUUUCUUCCUCAUUUCCAUUUCCCACUUCAAUGCACCAUAGCCAAACAACCAAACUCUCAUCUUCUCUCUUCGUAGAUCGAGCAGAUAUGUUGUGGGCAGUGACGAAACAAGUGGCUCAGGAAUUUUACGGCUUCCCUUCAAAUCCCACUUUCCCUUUUUCUCUUGUAUUUUCACGAUAACCUCUUCACUCUUGCCAGACCUUAAAAUCAGAGCAGGUCUUGUGAUUUUCUUAAAAAUCUCAAAUCAUCUUCAGCCAUUCUCAGUUAGAGACAUCACUCUCUAUCGUGCAUGAGACCCUUAUUUAAGGUGUCUUGAGUAGAGAAAAAUGGAUAAAGUGAUUGUUAAGGGUUCUUUCCAAAUUAAGAAGGAAUAGUCUUACUUUGCACUAAGUUUGAAGCUUAUCAUUCAAAUGGUAAUGUAGUUUCUGGAGAUAAAUCUAAGGAGGUAUAAUUCGUUAAUUUCUGCCAUCCUCUUACACAUGAAUAAGCUUUACUCUCAUUUGUAACAAUAUCUCCUCGAUAGAUAUCCUUAGUUUGGUUCCAACAGAUAAUAAAAUUUAUGAUACUUCAAUUCUAAGUUCCUUCUGUGCUCACUACUGAUUCUUAUCAAUCUCAAUAGAUUUUGGUUAAAGAUAUCUGGGUAUUUGAGAAAUCCCUCUUUCAUCCUGGUUCUUAUUGGCAUCUUUGGAGUCGGAUAUCGCUCUAAGCAAGCUGUUCUGACAUGCUGAUGACAAAUAAAGUCUUAUACCCAAUUUUGUAAGCUGCAGAUAAUAAUAAACUUUCUUAUGAUUCAUUCACUUGGCUAUAUUAUUUAUAGCACUGAAGAAAUCAUCCCUCUCUUAUUUCUCUGUUUUUGUUUUACUUUCCAUUUCUGCUAUUACUUUUUCACUGCCAAUUGAGUUUUUAUGGGUUUGUUUAUGGUGUUUGUUUACAGAUUUUGGUAUUUUCUAUACUUAAUUCUGUGACAAAAAAGAAAAAAAUGGAUGGAGAAGAGUAUGGAGAUUAUAAGAAAUUCAUAUUUAUCUUCUGCUACUUUGCACAAUAAGAGGUUGUUUUUUCUUUUUUGCCUAUUUAUUAUAUAACAAUGUCAUUUCUGAAGAGAAUAAAAAAGAAUUAAUCUGUCUUUAUUUCUUAUUCUUUUUUAAUGUAUGUAUAUAUGUAUAGUUCACAUGCAUUCCUUGUUGAUGAUGUUGUCAUCCCAAAUGAAGACUCUGUUUUAGAUAUAUUGAUUCGGGAAAAUGCUUGUUUCUGCCCUCGUGACCUCAGUGGGAAUACACUUUGGUCUGUGUAUCAUAUUUUUCACUUUGUACUCUAUAUUGAGCAAACAACCCAACAAUUAUGAAGUUUAUGUGCCUCGUUUGAUGGCCUAAGGGAAAUCUAAAAGGAGAGGUAAUUUUAACUUGGAAAGGCUUAUACCUUCUACUGGUUUGUUGAAAAGUGCUUAUAUGCUCUCUGAAGAGGAAUUGUUGUCGUCCUCGGGUUUGGAUGCUGUCGUUUUUAUGCAUGUUAUUACCUUCCCGUACUUUAGUUGAAGUGUUUGUUGUUCU